Molecule: long non-coding RNA, 781 nt
Organism: Mirounga angustirostris (Northern elephant seal)
Lineage: Eukaryota; Metazoa; Chordata; Mammalia; Carnivora; Phocidae
Exons: 3
Source: RefSeq, a predicted model, not a curated record
GCAGCCCCUUGAAGGAGAGAAGGCCCUCCCCCACCCUCGGAAGCUGGAGACACCACCUCUCAGUAUCUCUCCCUCUCAGUCCUUCCCCGUGGGUUUCCAGGUGAGCGACGACCGGCGCCAGGGCUUUUCGAGCUGAGAACUACAUUACCCAGAGGGCGCUGCGCCGGGCGCCGUCGGCGUGUAGCUAAUGAAGGCUCCUGAGAAGGGCAACUUCGACGACCGGCGCCAGGGCUUUUCGAGCUGUGAGAACUACAUUACCCAGAGGGCGCUGCGCCGGGCGCCGUCGGCGUGUAGCUAAUGAAGGCUCCUGAGAAGGGCAACUUCGUGCGUGCGCAUCACGUCGGGGCGGGACUUCGGCGUCCUCUUCGUGGCGGUUGUUUUGGCUGCUCUUAGGUCUGUUCGCUGAAUGACACACUUUGAUGCGCCGGUGGACACUGAGGUAACAGGACCGGGAAGGCGCGAGAGGAGGCGCUGUCCCCUGGGGUCCGCGGCUGGCGACGCCGCCCGGGCUGCCCCGCGCCGGGACGGGGACCGCGGGUCCGGGUGUCCGCUCCGCCACAGGGUCCGAUGGCGGCGGCCGCGCGCAGGGAGCCGGCUCCGAGUUCUGGAAGCGAGGAAGUCCAAGAUGAAAGUGCUGGCAGCUUCAUUUCCUGAGUUGUGUGACCUUUGAGGAUGUGGCCGUGUACUUCUCCCAGGAGGAGUGGGGGCUCCUUGAUGAGGCACAGAGGCUCCUGUACCACAAUGUUAUGCUAGAGAACUUUGCACUUACAACACCCAUGGG